GAUGAACGCUGGCGGCGUGCCUAAUACAUGCAAGUCGAGCGGUAAGGCCCUUCGGGGUACACGAGCGGCGGACGGCAGAGUAACACGUAGGAACGUACCCCAAAGUGAGGGAUAGCCCACCGAAAGGUGGAUUAAUACCGCAUGUGGUCUUCGGAUUAAAGCAGCAAUGCGCUUUGGGAACGGCCUGCGUAAGAUUAGCUAGUUGGUGAGGUAACGGCUCACCAAGGCGACGAUCUUUAGCUGGUCUGAGAGGAUGAUCAGCCUGACUGGGACUGAGACACGGCCCAGACUCCUACGGGAGGCAGCAGUAGGGAAUUUUCCACAAUGGGCGAAAGCCUGAUGGAGCAACGCCGCGUGCAGGAUGAAGGCCUUCGGGUUGUAAACUUCUUUUCUCAAGGAGGAAGAAAUGACGUUAUUUGAGGAAUAAGCAUCGGCUAACCCUGUGCCAGCAGCCGCAGUAA
RNAcentral lists this ribosomal RNA (461 nucleotides) under uncultured bacterium. RNAcentral describes it as "partial 16S ribosomal RNA". It matches the Rfam family "Bacterial small subunit ribosomal RNA", at positions 28 to 523 of the family's 1533-position model. The record is from RNAcentral.